UAUAAAUAGGUCUCAGCAGAAACAAGUCACUUCAGGAAUCAGACUCACUUCCUGGUAUGGGAGAACAAAAGGGAGGAACUCAAGUUACCGGAGUCCAGAAACACUACUUGCUGCUGAGCUGGAACUCUGGAGAGAAGUCCAUUGCAGGAGGCAGAAUCACAGGAGGGAGGCAGCCAACUGCAGCGAUGCAGCCACAAGACAGAAGAGAAUGUUCUGAGCUCUCACCCUCUGAUCUCACAUUAAUACAUCCGAAAUGCAGAAUCCAUUCUUCUGCUCUGACUGAUGUCCUGGCCAGCAGCUGAUCUUCUGUCUAGCAAUCCUAAUGUGAACUGGAAGAGAGACCCACAGAAAUAUAUACUUCCUGGUUUCCUGAGCAUCCCCUUCCUGCCAACGAGCAUCACAGAGGAAUCCUGUUAUACAGCAGGGAUGAAGGCUGCGUGUGUAUCAACUAGUGCAAGGGGAUGAACAAAGCACCACUCUAUCCCCCUCUCAAGAAGUCAUGGCCUGGGAAAGAGCUAUGGGAGAGACCAGUUGGAUUUCAAUUUCUCAAUGCCACAGACAUUUCAUAAACAAUUUGACUGGUGUCUUUAUAAGAAGAGGAAGAGGCACUGGCUCACUCUCUCUACAUGGACACCACGGAAAGGUCACGUGAAGACACAGUAAGAAGGCAGCUGUCUAAAGCCAGAAAGAGACUUCACCACACAUGGACUCUGACCUUGAACUUCCAGCUUUUAGAACUGUGAGAAAGGCUGAUUAUAAUCCUCCCUCUGACCACAGUCUCCUGAACUGUAACUUAGAGGUUGGAAUAGAUCAGCAAGUUGGUAAAUCUGUGUAUUGAGCAACACAUGGCCACUUGAUGUGAAAAAAAGGUGGCGGCUCCAUGCCUGGACUCUGCUUGAUGUGACCGCAGCCAUCCUGAAUGACCCCAGCAAAGAAACCCAGAAGGGCAGAGGGAAAAUAAUUGUUUCCUCAUCUGCUUGAGACUUCCAGACCAACUAGGUGUUUCUUACAAAGGAGCCUGUCCCUGUGCAGAGAGGCGAGUCCGGAUGGCCGCAUUACAGCACCUGACUUGACUUUCUUCUCAUGCUCAGAAGACAAGAGAACCUAACUAGGGUAGAGCAGCUAUUCUCUCAUGGAAAGUUGGACCAGGAACAAAUAGAUGGCUCCGUUUUGUGGGUCAUUUGAACUGAGGACAGUUAAACUCUAAGGAUGUGGCCACCAUGGUUGCCAUGUAAACAUUAAACAGAGACUGAAGAAGCAAGGACAAAACAAGCAGCUGAGAAGCCAUGUGGUGCUGCGGGGCAUGAGCUAGACAGACAGCAAGAGCAGCUACCUGGAGUUUUAAACUGCUCUUCAGUUCUGGGCUCCAGACACACAGCAGCCCAGCCCCCAUUGUGAUUCCUGCCCUUGGACUGCAUGAGAAUCUUCCGGAUUCUUUCUGAUAUAUUCUUGGCUUUGGUGAAGUUAUGUGGAAGAGUUUCUCAUCCAAAGAGCUUUAGCUUUAAUGUAGAUAUUCUGAAACAGCUUUUUGAAUUAUUUGUUCUAAGCAUUUGAAUAGUAGGCUGGGUAUGGGAAACGCCCCUGCACACAUCCUUAUGCAUACAGAUCCCAGGAGUACCUGUCCUAAGGUCCCUUCUCAGCUGUGUGGCCAAAGACUACAUUGCUGCGCUGCCUGACCUCAGCUGGUUCUUCGGCUGGAAGCUCCCUGAGAGGACCGCACCCAGCCUGAUCCUUGCCGAUGCCAUCAUGGCAUCACGUUGUGCCACUGCAAGCCCGUUUGCCUUCUCUUGUGCAGUUGUCCCGUCACUUACUGUUUGUGAAUGAUGAGUUGACAGUGAAAGAGAAGAGAAGCAGCAGCCAGCCUGGCCUUCAGAUGGGAGAAAAGCAUGUUUUUUAGAGAAUAAAAACAUUAUUUGGUAAGAA
Molecule: long non-coding RNA, 1923 nt
Organism: Chinchilla lanigera (long-tailed chinchilla)
Lineage: Eukaryota; Metazoa; Chordata; Mammalia; Rodentia; Chinchillidae
Exons: 6
Source: RefSeq, a predicted model, not a curated record